GACGAACGCUGGCGGCGUGCUUAACACAUGCAAGUCGAACGGAAAGGCCCUGCUUUUGUGGGGUGCUCGAGUGGCGAACGGGUGAGUAACACGUGAGUAACCUGCUCUUGACUUUGGGAUAACUUCAGGAAACUGGGGCUAAUACCGGAUAGGAGCUCCUGCUGCAUGGUGGGGGUUGGAAAGUUUCGGCGGUUGGGGAUGGACUCGCGGCUUAUCAGCUUGUUGGUGGGGUAGUGGCUUACCAAGGCUUUGACGGGUAGCCGGCCUGAGAGGGUGACCGGCCACAUUGGGACUGAGAUACGGCCCAGACUCCUACGGGAGGCAGCAGUGGGGAAUAUUGCACAGUGGGCGGAAGCCUGAUGCAGCGGCGCCGCGUGCGGGAUGACGGCCUUCGGGUUGUAAACCGCUUUCGCCUGUGACGAAGCGGGAGUGACGGUAAUGGGUAAAGAAGCACCGGCUAACUACGUG
Molecule: ribosomal RNA, 468 nt
Filed under: uncultured bacterium
Lineage: Bacteria
Description: partial 16S ribosomal RNA
Rfam family: Bacterial small subunit ribosomal RNA
Source: RNAcentral